This is a long non-coding RNA of Astatotilapia calliptera (eastern happy), 1025 nucleotides long. Lineage: Eukaryota; Metazoa; Chordata; Actinopteri; Cichliformes; Cichlidae. The record is from Ensembl.
GAUCAAACAGUAUUUUAAGCAUGCGUUUCUGUGACCAUCAUCUUGUCCGGUUCACUCAGUAGGUUAAGAAGUGAUACAUAGACUAGUGAACUAGUAUUAUUUUUGGGGAAGGAUGAUUGAAUCAUAGCAGGGGUCAAACAGAAUGAUGCAGGAGGGUCAGAUGAGUGGAGACUAAUAGAUUCUUGAGUUUCUUGUUUCUGAUGUGUGAGGGAGGUCUUAUCGUGACACACAUCUGGGUACAUGGGGGAAAACAAAACUCAUUAUCUAAUAGAAUAUUGCUGUUGUGUGAGGUGUGACUGGUGGAUGAAUGUUUUGGGGAUUUACUGAUGCAUUUUUUUUUUUGGUACCACUUUGAACCUGCCAGUUUUGAUCUAUCAUUCUAAGAGAGUAUGCUUAGACAACUUCUAAAAAGAGGCCUUCACAUUUUUUGAUUUUUAACAGUGCACUGAGAUUUUUUGUUUGGCAAUUUUCUCUUUUUCAAGCAGGCCUGCAAUAUCGGGAUCGAAAGCGCUACACAACAUGUUGAACAAUCGCAAGUGAGCUUCUCCAAAAUUAAAAUGGGCUCGGGAGAAAGCCACUUAUUUGGGACAAUCAAAAAAACAAGUCCCUGUCAAAAAGGAUUCAGCGAGGUAAUCCAGUCUAAAUUCUUUUUUUUCUUUUUUGAAAUGACGUCAUUGCUGGCAGUAGAAACUUAUUGCGUCACGAGAGGUUCUACUGUCAGCAAAUAAAAAACGGGGACUGACUGGACUGACAAAUGCUUGACUGACUUGACAUCAGUAUGCAAGAUUGCACCUCCACCCCGAGUGACCAAAGGGUGGAUGUAUGUAUGUUUCUUUUUACAGGAGCAGAAAGAUGACAGCAACAGGUUGCAUGGGCUUUUGGGCCGUGCUGACUUAACCUUUUAAUUGCCACUUUCUGUGUCUUUGUGAAUUUACCAGCAGUGUGUUAUUCAUGACCUUGUAUUGUUUACAGUGCAGAGGUCACUGUGAGAAAGUGUGCAUACAGAUGUGUUGCGCUAACAUCUA